AAGAAAAUCACAGCCAUACAGGCUACGCUUCCCCCAGCUGAGGUGUAUCUGCAGUCUGUCGGUGGGAAAGAAAGCAACCCUAUAUGGAGACAUGCUCCUCCCGCAAACCUCAUCUGUCAGCUAUUAGUUAAUCAGGGCUGGUGACUGGGGGGAAACGGAGAGCUGGCAAGGCCCCUGGGACUGGAGGACAGCUUCAUCUCUGAGAGAGCACAAUGAGGGCAAAGACUCUGGGACCUCUAGUCUGAGGAUCCACAGCUGGGAAGCCUUACAGGAAUGUUUUUUAAAGGACCGCCGUCCAAACGACACAUGCUAUCAUCACUGCGGCGGGAGCAUCGCCGUGGGCCAGAGGAAUGCCAAGAGCCAUAUAUAUCUGCUCUGCAGCGGGAAACCAGAUAAUCCAUACAGAUAUCAUUCUAAUCCAGCUCAUGCUAUCCAUGACUAAGAAUCUGAAGUAGAGCACGAUACAAGAAUGAUGGUGAAUGCAGAUGCUUGCAUGUAAAAAUGACUUCCUGUUUCCAUCUCUGCAGUAUUUGACAAACGGCGAACUCCUCGCUGACACUAAACAUCCCGUUCUGGACUCUGAGUCUGUUUUCUGUGGGACUGGGGUCAGCCAGUCAAGUUCCUCUGCCCCAGACUGGAUCAUCUUUGACCUGUGACCUUGCUUUGUACAGUGAUGUACAUUUGGUGGUGUAAGGCCUUGGAUGGGAAUUCUCAGCUACGGAAACCCAUUCCUGAACGCUUUCUACCGACUGUUGUUGAGAUGAUCAGAAGCCACACAAAGUUUGGAGAUCUACAGCUAUCCACACAGCUGUUAGCCUCGGCAAAAUGUACACUUUAGUCAGUGGUGUCCCUGCUUUCUUACUUUACUUUGCCUAUCACUAAGUGGCCAAGUUGCUAUUUUUUCCAAUGGUUUCCACAUUUGACUGUUGAAUAAUUAGUAGUGGGUAAAUUCCACCAAUGGUCUCAUUAUUGAGUCGGCAGCCUACCUACUUUACUUUCAUUUCCUGGGUCCUUCAGUGUAACCCAUUCUUUCAAAUGUUUUCAGAAGCAGUCUGCAUGCUGAGAUGGUGGAUUUUAUACAUGUGGCCAUUGGAAGGAAUUGGAACAUCUGAAUUCAUUGAUUUACAGGGGUGACCCAAUAUAGUGUAAGUAUAAUACAGAUAUAACAUAAAGACAUACAAUUUCAAGUGGCUUAAAAUUACAUUUUAAUAAUUAUGGGUUGGAGUAUAGCAGAUGCUUUUUGCCUGUGUCAAGGCAAGGCCAUGCCCUCUGUCAUUCAGCAGACCCCGGGAUACCCCAGACUAAAUGUUUCCAGACCUUUGUGCCCUGUCUGUUCUCAUUUCGUCUCACUGCAUCUGCUCCUGAUCAUGCCAAAAAUAACAUUUACUCUUCACUACAGUAUAGGCUCCUUUGUCUCUCUCUCUCUCUUUCUUUAAUUUCUUCUAAUAGCAUGUUCAGACACUGCUUCAAUGAGUUAAUUUUUGCAGGUAGUUAUUGACAACAUUCAGUGUCCUAUAAACGUCUUUAUUCAUCUUAAUUUUUUUCACAUUUUGGCACAUAACGACCACAAACUUCAAUCUUAGGGAAUUUUAUGUGAAAGAGCAGCACAAACUAGCACAUAAAAUAAUACAUGGUUUUCAAAAUAUUUGGCAAAUCCUAAUAUUAAAAGUGCCCCCACAAUCAUAUUUUGCAGGAUUGUUAUGUACAUCAACAGACUAUUUUUUUUAUCAUUCUUGUUUUCAAAAAUAGCUCAAGCUCAGUCCGACUCUGAACAACAAUUUGCAAAUCUUGCUACAAAAUUUCCAUUUUUAUUUAGGUCUGGACUUUAACUGGGCCGUUUUAUCACAUGUGUUGUAUUUGUCUUGACCUAAGCAGUUCAACGGCAUGGCUGUGGUUGUACUUCUGGAAGGUGAGCCAAAGGCCCAGCCUUACACUGAGUCUUUUGCAAUCUGUAACAGGUUUCCUAUCAGCUUUGCCUUGCAUUUAGUUCCAUCCAUCGUCACAUCAGCUCUGAACAGUUUCCUUUGACCUACUUAUGAAAAACAGCCCCGACGCUUUCUGCUGUCACUAGCAUGUUUCACCAUAGGUGAUAUACAGUUCUUGCUCUCUGGCACAAACAGUAAAGUGCAAACAGGACUUCUGAUGGCUCACUUUCAGGGUGUUCUUGCUUUCUUCUGGCCACUCUUCAAUAGACACCAGAUUUGUAGAGUGAACCAUUAAUAGUUCUGUUGUUUACAGAGUCUUGAGUUGUGGAUCUGCAGAGAUCCACAACUCAAGUUACUAUGAACAUCUCGUGUUUUUCUCUUAUCUCUCCUUGCUGAGACUGUGAGUUUAGGAUCCUGGAGACAAUUACCUGAACUGUUUUGUAUUUAGACAUAGAGGUGCCUGAAUGCAAAUCGUCACUACGCAUUUCAUAUUUUAGUAAUGGAAAAUUGAAAACCAUGUAACAUUUUGAUUUCGCUGUGCAACCAUAUGUAGCUUUGAGUUGGCCAAACCUUAGAUUCGAUUUAGAGGGACACUAUGUGAAAAAGCUCAAAGGGGUAUAACUGCUUUUGUAUACUGAUACAAGUACUAUGCAAUGCAAUCUAUAUUUACAGUGCGGAUUUGUAAAACCUGUGUUUGCUUUUUCAGCCUAAGUUUACUUCCAGUCCUGACCGAAAAGCAGCCAUUUGAGCAGGUUUUGUUUUCAAUCUUCAGAUAAGAUCUCACUGAGACUCGUUUUCCACCUCCAAUGUUUUCAAGGUUUGCAGUAAUCGUUUUGCCCAAAGCACUGCUUUGCUUUCUCCCAAAGGGGCCACUAUGAAACAUCAUCUCUCCAUGCAUAUUCAAGUCAAGGCCGUGACGAGAACCUUGUGCUCGUGAGCACCGGGGAGAACCUUUCAUCUACUAAUUCGGGUUGCUCAAACUUGACUGACAGGAAACGCCAGCCCCAUGAUGUCACAAACAACUGACCCCAAGGUGACAGGUUUGAGGAGUGUUCAUGCUCAUUGCUCUUAGCCUGGAGUUAAGAAUGUCAAUGUAUACAUGUGGUUUGGAUUUGAAGCGCUGUGAUUAGCUUGCAGACGCUCUGCUGCCACCCCUCCUUUCCAAGGAAAGCACAUAUUUAACAGGAAACGGUAUGUUUUUGCUUAUAAGAAGACAUAAAUUACAAAAACGGUGCCUCUUAACAUAAGUAAAACACAACCAUAUUGUUUGGGGACAGAUGUUUUUCUUAAAGUAAAUAGCACUGGUUAAUGUAUUAUGCUUAAAACUUUGAAUAUGUGAUUAUUUUUUGUUUGUUUUUUUUUGGAAAAUAUGUGCAAUAAAUGUGGUAAUUUCUUGGCGUCGUCUCAUUAUUUCCAUACGGAACAAAUAUGCUUUCAUUGCACACAUUUUUUCUUGAAUAUGGAGUAAGUAUUAUUAGAAUCUUUGUCAAAUUAUUCAAAUAAGCAAUGAGUAAUUAUCAUUAUUCAUCUCAGACAGGCUAAAAAGCAGAAUUUGACUUGCAUAUUUGGAUGUUUUGGGAUAAGUGGGGUUAUAAGAGACAUAGGUUUUCCAAUAAGAACAUGCUUACAAAGAAACCUUCAUUUCUAAUCUUUGGCACCUUUUCAGGAAUCACCUUUGUGCGUUUAUGAUGUAUAAAUGUAAUUAAUUGGGUCAAAUCAGCUUACUUUUAGACAAGCUCCCUUGUUACUUUGAAUAUAAAUAUAUCUGGAUUAAUUUAUCACUAUAAUUAGUAUAUCCAUGAUAUUUAGUGAGUAGUCUGAAGAGUAUUGUACAAAGUGAAAUAUACCUAAAGAGACUUAUUCUCAGUGGUUUGAUUAUUUUCUUAUAUUACCUCUUAGAUCAUAAUGUCUGUAUUGUGUGGUCAAGUGUUUUUUUUUUUCUCAGCUGUGCAACUCUUGCCAAAACGAAUUAAUCCAAAUUAAUGUUGUAGUAAACAGAGCAAACUUCUGUAGUCUGCAGCCAAGUGUAUUGCUGAGACCUCCAUCCAGGCAAUGGUAAGCAGAUGUUCAACUCAGCAGCAGUUUGAUUUGGACUGUGUCUGUGACUGUGUUUCUCUUGGGAAACUAUAAAAUAAGAUAAUAAAACACAUUGAAUGAAGGCAAAAAGAGAUGAACCGAUCAGGAUUUCCAAGGCCAGUUUCUUGUUUACCGUGGGCUCUGACCUGAUGAUUCUUGAUUUUCACUACAUAAAAGACUGUAAUGUAUAAAAUAAAAAGUGUAGUGGGUUAUUUGAUUGAGGUUUAGAUACAACAGAAGAGUGAGAAAUAGCAAGAUUUCCCCAUUUAUGCACCAAGUCAUAUGUCCCUAAUCUUUAUGUGCUUUUAAAUAACUCCUAAAUGUGGAUCGAAGUGCAUUCUGAUUUUUUAGGUUUGAUGCAUUUAAUAAAUAUCAUCACUACUUAAUUUUUACAUUGCAAAGCUCUACAACGCUAGACAAUGUGAAGACAGAAUUUUUUAACUGUGUAACUUAAAGCUGAAUUGCCCUUAAGAAAAGUCCCCGAUUUACAAGCACAUCCUAAAUGUUGCUAAAUGUUGUUGAAUGCCUAAAAAUAUUUACCCUGUCAAAGAAAUAAAAUGUACAUAGAAUUCUA
Molecule: long non-coding RNA, 4575 nt
Organism: Fundulus heteroclitus (mummichog)
Lineage: Eukaryota; Metazoa; Chordata; Actinopteri; Cyprinodontiformes; Fundulidae
Exons: 3
Source: RefSeq, a predicted model, not a curated record